Small nucleolar RNA from Otolemur garnettii (small-eared galago), 104 nucleotides. Lineage: Eukaryota; Metazoa; Chordata; Mammalia; Primates; Galagidae. The record is from Ensembl.
AUCCCUUUAUAGUUCACAAACAUGAUGAUUGGGUUUUCACACUUAUGUGUAAGAUUUCCCUUCCUCAAAUCUUGUUAUGACAUGGACACAAUAUCUGUUUAAUG